GAGCCCAAGAUUGAAAGCUGGCGUCUUCGGCGUCCGCAUUGUAAUCUCAAGAAGUGUUUUCCGCUUCGGACCAAGCCUAAGUCCCCUGGAAAGGGGCAUCAUAGAGGGUGAUAAUCCCGUACAUGGCUUGGAGCGCCCGAGGCUUUGUGAUACGCUUUCUAAGAGUCGAGUUGUUUGGGAAUGCAGCUCAAAAUGGGUGGUAAAUGCCAUCUAAGGCUAAAUAUUGGGGAGAGACCGAUAGCGAACAAGUACAGUGAUGGAAAGAUGAAAAGAACUUUGAAAAGAGAGUUAAACAGUACGUGAAAUUGCCAAAAGGGAAGGGUAGGAGGUCAGAGAUGCGUCUUGGGAUUCAGCCUUGCUUUUGCUUGGUGUUUUUCCCAGAUUGCAGGCCAACGUCGGUUUUGGGCACUGGAGAAGGGUAGGAGGAACGUGGCACCCCUCGGGGUGUGUUAUAGCCUCCUACUGGAUACAGCGACCGAGACCGAGGACAGCAGCGUACUCGCAAGAGCGGGCCUUCGGGCACCUUUACGCUUAGGGCGUUGGCAUAAUGGCCCUCUACCACCCGUCUUGA
Molecule: ribosomal RNA, 571 nt
Filed under: uncultured Pseudozyma
Lineage: Eukaryota; Fungi; Basidiomycota; Ustilaginomycetes; Ustilaginales; Ustilaginaceae
Description: LSU rRNA
Rfam family: Eukaryotic large subunit ribosomal RNA
Source: RNAcentral